This 227-nucleotide ribosomal RNA is filed under the name Enterococcus faecium. Its description in RNAcentral is "partial 16S ribosomal RNA". It matches the Rfam family "Bacterial small subunit ribosomal RNA", at positions 1032 to 1260 of the family's 1533-position model. The record is from RNAcentral. Lineage: Bacteria; Bacillati; Bacillota; Bacilli; Lactobacillales; Enterococcaceae.
UGACAGGUGGUGCAUGGUUGUCGUCAGCUCGUGUCGUGAGAUGUUGGGUUAAGUCCCGCAACGAGCGCAACCCUUAUUGUUAGUUGCCAUCAUUCAGUUGGGCACUCUAGCAAGACUGCCGGUGACAAACCGGAGGAAGGUGGGGAUGACGUCAAAUCAUCAUGCCCCUUAUGACCUGGGCUACACACGUGCUACAAUGGGAAGUACAACGAGUNGCGAAGUCGCGA